AAAUUGAAGAGUUUGAUCAUGGCUCAGAUUGAACGCUGGCGGCAGGCCUAACACAUGCAAGUCGAGCGGUAACACAGAGAGCUUGCUCUCGGGUGACGAGCGGCGGACGGGUGAGUAAUGUCUGGGAAACUGCCUGAUGGAGGGGGAUAACUACUGGAAACGGUAGCUAAUACCGCAUAACGUCGCAAGACCAAAGUGGGGGACCUUCGGGCCUCAUGCCAUCAGAUGUGCCCAGAUGGGAUUAGCUAGUAGGUGGGGUAACGGCUCACCUAGGCGACGAUCCCUAGCUGGUCUGAGAGGAUGACCAGCCACACUGGAACUGAGACACGGUCCAGACUCCUACGGGAGGCAGCAGUGGGGAAUAUUGCACAAUGGGCGCAAGCCUGAUGCAGCCAUGCCGCGUGUGUGAAGAAGGCCUUCGGGUUGUAAAGCACUUUCAGCGGGGAGGAAGGCGUUAAGGUUAAUAACCUUGGCGAUUGACGUUACCCGCAGAAGAAGCACCGGCUAACUCCGUGCCAGCAGCCGCGGU
This 529-nucleotide ribosomal RNA is filed under the name Klebsiella pneumoniae. RNAcentral's name for it is "bacterial SSU rRNA". It matches the Rfam family "Bacterial small subunit ribosomal RNA", at positions 1 to 521 of the family's 1533-position model. Lineage: Bacteria; Pseudomonadati; Pseudomonadota; Gammaproteobacteria; Enterobacterales; Enterobacteriaceae. The record is from RNAcentral.